CUGUCAAAUUAAGUGCCAGCCGACGCGGUUAGACUUAAGGGCUUGUCUUUAUAAAUAAAAAGGCGUAAAGGAUGUGUAGGCCAAAUAACACUAAGAGGGUAGAUGGAAUUUUUCUGGAGCGGUAGAAUGCGAGGAUAGAAAAUAGAACUCCUAAAGUUAAAACAAUCUACCACAAUAUAGGCUGAGACAUGAAGGUGUGGGGAGCAAACAGGAUUAGAGACCCUGGUAGUCCACACAGUGAACAUUGAAGAUUAUGCUCGGCAGACCCGAAAGGUAAAAUCUUCCGCCUGAGUAGUACGAUCGCAAGAUUAAAAUUCAAAAACUUUGGCUGUUCACUACUUCGAUUAGAGGAGCGUGUAGUUUAAUUCGAUAGUCCGCGUGGAACCUCACCCUAACUUGAAUCUUGACUGGUAUUGCAUGGCCGUCGUAAGUCCGUGCGUUAAGCUAAAGGGACCCAACCCCGAUUGGGAGGAAGUCAGGUCUUAUGAUCCGAAUGUUAGGGGAUUAUAUGCGCUACAUUUUCUUAUACAAUGGGAUACUAAAAGGUGAGACCCAAAAGUAAGAGUUCGGAAGGUCGCUGCAAAUCGGCCGGAAGUUGGAUUUAAUAGUAAUCGGAAAGUAGAGCGUUCCGGUGAAUUGGUACAAGUGUUAGCACAAAUUGCCCGUCACCUUUACCUAGAAUGGUUGCUUGGACGCCUUAGUGGUUA
This 707-nucleotide ribosomal RNA is filed under the name Edwardsia japonica. Its description in RNAcentral is "partial 12S ribosomal RNA". It matches the Rfam family "Bacterial small subunit ribosomal RNA", at positions 493 to 1438 of the family's 1533-position model. Lineage: Eukaryota; Metazoa; Cnidaria; Anthozoa; Actiniaria; Edwardsiidae. The record is from RNAcentral.